UGCUACGACCAACUUUUCGUUCAGUGG
This 27-nucleotide non-coding RNA is filed under the name Homo sapiens (human). Lineage: Eukaryota; Metazoa; Chordata; Mammalia; Primates; Hominidae. The record is from RNAcentral.